RNAcentral lists this ribosomal RNA (403 nucleotides) under uncultured bacterium. Its description in RNAcentral is "bacterial SSU rRNA". It matches the Rfam family "Bacterial small subunit ribosomal RNA", at positions 99 to 502 of the family's 1533-position model. The record is from RNAcentral.
CGAACGGGUGCGUAACGCGUAUGCAACCUGCCUUAUACAAAAGGAUAGCCCAUGGAAACGUGGAUUAAUACUUUAUGGUACUAUAAAACUGCAUAGUUUAAUAGUUAAAACUUCGGUGGUAUAAGAUGGGCAUGCGUAGGAUUAGGUAGUUGGUGGGGUAAAGGCCCACCAAGCCGACGAUCCUUAGGGGUUCUGAGAGGAUUAUCCCCCACACUGGUACUGAGACACGGACCAGACUCCUACGGGAGGCAGCAGUGAGGAAUAUUGGUCAAUGGGCGCAAGCCUGAACCAGCCAUCCCGCGUGCAGGAUGACGGCCCUAUGGGUUGUAAACUGCUUUUAUUUGCCAAGAAUGGUUACUACGUGUAGUGAUUUGACGGUAGCAAAUGAAUAAGACCGCUAACU